This 270-nucleotide ribosomal RNA is filed under the name uncultured prokaryote. RNAcentral describes it as "partial 16S ribosomal RNA". It matches the Rfam family "Bacterial small subunit ribosomal RNA", at positions 524 to 792 of the family's 1533-position model. The record is from RNAcentral.
UACGUAGGUGGCAAGCGUUAUCCGGAAUUAUUGGGCGUAAAGAGCGCGCAGGUGGUUGAUUAAGUCUGAUGUGAAAGCCCACGGCUUAACCGUGGAGGGUCAUUGGAAACUGGUCGACUUGAGUUCAGAAGAGGGAAGUGGAAUUCCAUGUGUAGCGGUGAAAUGCGUAGAGAUAUGGAGGAACACCAGUGGCGAAGGCGGCUUCCUGGUCUGUAACUGACACUGAGGCGCGAAAGCGUGGGGAGCAAACAGGAUUAGAUACCCCUCGUA